GCCGCUGUGGCUUAGAGGUAUAGCGAUUCCUUGGUAAGGAAUAGGUCGUGGGUUCAAUUCCCAUCAGCGGCU
RNAcentral lists this transfer RNA (72 nucleotides) under Thermoplasmata archaeon. RNAcentral's name for it is "tRNA-Thr". It matches the Rfam family "tRNA". From Rfam's summary of the family: Transfer RNA (tRNA) molecules are approximately 80 nucleotides in length. Their secondary structure includes four short double-helical elements and three loops (D, anti-codon, and T loops). The record is from RNAcentral. Lineage: Archaea; Methanobacteriati; Thermoplasmatota; Thermoplasmata. RNAcentral also lists the same sequence under 4 other names.